RNAcentral lists this ribosomal RNA (1751 nucleotides) under Shigella flexneri. RNAcentral's name for it is "partial 23S ribosomal RNA". It matches the Rfam family "Bacterial large subunit ribosomal RNA", at positions 1208 to 2925 of the family's 2925-position model. The record is from RNAcentral. Lineage: Bacteria; Pseudomonadati; Pseudomonadota; Gammaproteobacteria; Enterobacterales; Enterobacteriaceae.
GCGACGCUUAUGCGUUGUUGGGUAGGGGAGCGUUCUGUAAGCCUGUGAAGGUGUGCUGUGAGGUAUGCUGGAGGUAUCAGAAGUGCGAAUGCUGACAUAAGUAACGAUAAAGCGGGUGAAAAGCCCGCUCGCCGGAAGACCAAGGGUUCCUGUCCAACGUUAAUCGGGGCAGGGUGAGUCGACCCCUAAGGCGAGGCCGAAAGGCGUAGUCGAUGGGAAACAGGUUAAUAUUCCUGUACUUGGUGUUACUGCGAAGGGGGGACGGAGAAGGCUAUGUUGGCCGGGCGACGGUUGUCCCGGUUUAAGCGUGUAGGCUGGUUUUCCAGGCAAAUCCGGAAAAUCAAGGCCGAGGCGUGAUGACGAGGCACUACGGUGCUGAAGCAACAAAUGCCCUGCUUCCAGGAAAAGCCUCUAAGCAUCAGGUAACAUCAAAUCGUACCCCAAACCGACACAGGUGGUCAGGUAGAGAAUACCAAGGCGCUUGAGAGAACUCGGGUGAAGGAACUAGGCAAAAUGGUGCCGUAACUUCGGGAGAAGGCACGCUGAUACGUAGGUGAAGCGACUUGCUCGUGGAGCUGAAAUCAGUCGAAGAUACCAGCUGGCUGCAACUGUUUAUUAAAAACACAGCACUGUGCAAACACGAAAGUGGACGUAUACGGUGUGACGCCUGCCCGGUGCCGGAAGGUUAAUUGAUGGGGUUAGCGCAAGCGAAGCUCUUGAUCGAAGCCCCGGUAAACGGCGGCCGUAACUAUAACGGUCCUAAGGUAGCGAAAUUCCUUGUCGGGUAAGUUCCGACCUGCACGAAUGGCGUAAUGAUGGCCAGGCUGUCUCCACCCGAGACUCAGUGAAAUUGAACUCGCUGUGAAGAUGCAGUGUACCCGCGGCAAGACGGAAAGACCCCGUGAACCUUUACUAUAGCUUGACACUGAACAUUGAGCCUUGAUGUGUAGGAUAGGUGGGAGGCUUUGAAGUGUGGACGCCAGUCUGCAUGGAGCCGACCUUGAAAUACCACCCUUUAAUGUUUGAUGUUCUAACGUGGACCCGUGAUCCGGGUUGCGGACAGUGUCUGGUGGGUAGUUUGACUGGGGCGGUCUCCUCCUAAAGAGUAACGGAGGAGCACGAAGGUUGGCUAAUCCUGGUCGGACAUCAGGAGGUUAGUGCAAUGGCAUAAGCCAGCUUGACUGCGAGCGUGACGGCGCGAGCAGGUGCGAAAGCAGGUCAUAGUGAUCCGGUGGUUCUGAAUGGAAGGGCCAUCGCUCAACGGAUAAAAGGUACUCCGGGGAUAACAGGCUGAUACCGCCCAAGAGUUCAUAUCGACGGCGGUGUUUGGCACCUCGAUGUCGGCUCAUCACAUCCUGGGGCUGAAGUAGGUCCCAAGGGUAUGGCUGUUCGCCAUUUAAAGUGGUACGCGAGCUGGGUUUAGAACGUCGUGAGACAGUUCGGUCCCUAUCUGCCGUGGGCGCUGGAGAACUGAGGGGGGCUGCUCCUAGUACGAGAGGACCGGAGUGGACGCAUCACUGGUGUUCGGGUUGUCAUGCCAAUGGCACUGCCCGGUAGCUAAAUGCGGAAGAGAUAAGUGCUGAAAGCAUCUAAGCACGAAACUUGCCCCGAGAUGAGUUCUCCCUGACCCUUUAAGGGUCCUGAAGGAACGUUGAAGACGACGACGUUGAUAGGCCGGGUGUGUAAGCGCAGCGAUGCGUUGAGCUAACCGGUACUAAUGAACCGUGAGGCUUAACCUUACAACGCCGAAG